Molecule: non-coding RNA, 128 nt
Organism: Prunus avium (sweet cherry)
Lineage: Eukaryota; Viridiplantae; Streptophyta; Magnoliopsida; Rosales; Rosaceae
Source: RefSeq, a predicted model, not a curated record
CUAUUGCCUUUGGAUAUUUCACUCUCAACUCUCAAAUCAAACUCAGGACAGCACCUUCUCUUGGAAAGCUUUUCAUUUGCAAGGUUCCUUUACGUGUCAUUUCCAAGAAGUAUCUUGCUGAGCUGAGG